UUGCACCGUUUCGUAAUCAGUUAGAAGAUUCAGCGAGCGCAAAAGUUGUUGUGUGUUCGUGCGCUCUCGUCUUUACGCCCGCGGCGCACUCAGAGCGGCGCAACAGCGCUACACGGGUAUCUAUCAGCGAGCGGAUAUUCUCCACAGCUUACAUCUGAAUCUCUCCAGCAAAGAACGUCGACUUUAGAAGAGUUUUUGUGGUGUUUGAUCGUGUUUUGGAGGCCGUGAUGAGAAGCAGCGGCGAAGAGCAGCAGAAAGACCCGGAGAGAUGCAUGCAGCCAGGGAUAGCAUUAGCACUGACUUUGGUGUGCAGUUGGUCAAAGAACAAACCUUUUUAGUGACUGCCUUGAGUGUCUUCCUACACUGUAAAUACUGUAAAUAGUUGCUUUUAGUUUUUCAGUAACUUGAUAUUCAUAAUAAUUAGCAGAAAAAAAAAUCUACAAUUACAAAAUGUAAAAUAAAUAAAUUGUAUUUUG
Long non-coding RNA from Cyprinus carpio (common carp), 476 nucleotides. RefSeq lists it as uncharacterized. Lineage: Eukaryota; Metazoa; Chordata; Actinopteri; Cypriniformes; Cyprinidae. The record is from RefSeq and is a predicted model, not a curated record.